RNAcentral lists this ribosomal RNA (253 nucleotides) under uncultured bacterium. Its description in RNAcentral is "partial 16S ribosomal RNA". It matches the Rfam family "Bacterial small subunit ribosomal RNA", at positions 524 to 776 of the family's 1533-position model. The record is from RNAcentral.
UACGUAGGGUGCAAGCGUUGUCCGGAAUUACUGGGCGUAAAGCGUGCGCAGGCGGUCUGCUAAGAGAGAUGUGAAAUCCCCGGGCUUAACCUGGGAACUGCGUUUCUAACUGGCAGGCUAGAGUGUGGCAGAGGGGGGUGGAAUUCCACGUGUAGCAGUGAAAUGCGUAGAGAUGUGGAGGAACACCGAUGGCGAAGGCAGCCCCCUGGGCUAACACUGACGCUCAUGCACGAAAGCGUGGGGAGCAAACAGG